Long non-coding RNA from Cervus elaphus (red deer), 515 nucleotides. RefSeq lists it as uncharacterized. The transcript is spliced from 3 exons. The record is from RefSeq and is a predicted model, not a curated record. NCBI's taxonomy places the organism in Eukaryota, Metazoa, Chordata, Mammalia, Artiodactyla, Cervidae.
CAGCAUCGUCGGGGCUGCCGGCGCUGGGGGAGAAGGGCGGAGCGCGCUCAGCUCAGCUCAGUUUUCCUUUACCCAGAAUGGACUGUCUAUGGAUCCGGACGACAUCCUAGAAGUUUCCCCACAUCCUUGAGUUGUACCAAUUUCAGCUUCCACAAGCAAUGCAUGAAGCCCCACAGCUCCACCGGCACUGAGACUGAGGCACACAGAGAUUCUGUCUGACUCCAGAGAAAAAACUUGACUGUGUGUUCAUCACCAGAAAAUGUAACCAGUGACUAAAGCUGAUGCCUGUCAACAGCCAUCCUCCUUCCGACUUCCAGAACCCUGAAUUUGGCAGCACUGUGCCAGAGAGGUAAGUAAGGGGUGAAUUAUGAUCAUGUAAGCAAGCUAUGACAACUCCAACCCUGUUUGUCAGGGAUUUGUCCUGUAUCCCUCCUGACUUGUGAGCCAUUGAAGUCAAUGAGGAAGUCUGCUGGGUGUGUCUGGGAAAGAUUUUCCUCCAUGAAUAGAGAGAAGCA